This 73-nucleotide transfer RNA is filed under the name Buchnera aphidicola (Nipponaphis monzeni). It matches the Rfam family "tRNA". Rfam says of the family: Transfer RNA (tRNA) molecules are approximately 80 nucleotides in length. Their secondary structure includes four short double-helical elements and three loops (D, anti-codon, and T loops). Further hydrogen bonds mediate the characteristic L-shaped molecular structure. tRNAs have two regions of fundamental functional importance: the anti-codon, which is responsible for specific mRNA codon recognition, and the 3' end, to which the tRNAs corresponding amino acid is attached (by aminoacyl-tRNA synthetases). tRNAs cope with the degeneracy of the genetic code in two manners: having more than one tRNA (with a specific anti-codon) for a particular amino acid; and 'wobble' base-pairing, i.e. permitting non-standard base-pairing at the 3rd anti-codon position. Lineage: Bacteria; Pseudomonadati; Pseudomonadota; Gammaproteobacteria; Enterobacterales; Erwiniaceae. The record is from Rfam by way of RNAcentral.
AGGGAUAUAACUCAAUUGGUAGAGUAUCGGUCUCCAAAACCGAAAGUUGGGGGUUCGAUUCCCUCUAUCCCUG